Cebus imitator (Panamanian white-faced capuchin) is the source of this 2922-nucleotide long non-coding RNA. RefSeq lists it as uncharacterized. The record is from RefSeq and is a predicted model, not a curated record. The transcript is spliced from 2 exons. Lineage: Eukaryota; Metazoa; Chordata; Mammalia; Primates; Cebidae.
GCCAAGACCAUGCGACUGCACUCUAACCUGGGUGACAGAGUGAGAUCCUGUCCCCCUCCAAAAAAAGGUACAGGAAUUUAAACCCAAAAAUGUGAACAGAAGGAAAUAACAGUAGAAAUUAAUGUCAGAAAACAAACACAAUAUAGAAAAUCCUCAAAGAAAAAAUAGAUUUAUAAUAGGAAGAAAGUUGAUAAACCUAUAGGAAUAGUGAACAUAACACAAAUUACUAACAUCAGACUUGAAAAGGAAGACAUCACUACAGACCCUAUAGACCCUAAACAGAAGAUAUGAACAAUUUUAUGUGAUUAAAUUUGAAAAUGUGUAUUAGACAAAUUCCUAGAAAAAUAUAACUUAUGAAAAUCCAUACUAGGAGAAUUAGAAAAUUUGAAUAUUGAAGCAUGCUUCUUAUCCAUAUACAACAGACAUGUUUAGGUAGAUCAAAGAAGCAGGGAGUUUGGUUCCAUGACUGCCCUGAAAUAAUUUCUUUUCUCUCUAGCCACAGAGCGAUACAGUGAAAAAUCAGAAACAGAGUCUGUUCCUGCAGGUUACUGAUAAACAACAUAGGUUGAAUUCAUGGCUUCAUCAGGUUUCUUAAAUAAUAAUUAGAUUAUUUUGAAAGAAAGAAUACAAACCCAAAAAGUAGAAUAGUGGUACCUGAAAACAUUACAAUGACCAAGUACCCAAAACCCCGAAGAUUUAUCUUGCCAAUACGUAGCUCCUACCCUAUCUAAUGAGAAUGGUUUUGAUUUUCUUGAAUAUCUUGAAAAGCAAUUUUUCUGAACUUCAUUUUCAACAUCUAGACAACUGAGGGUAAAACCUACUUUUAUAAUACUCUAUUGAAGAAGGAAAUUAAAUCAUAGCAAUAGUAAAGAAAAACCUUAUACAUUGUAGUUCCUAUAAAAUACAGUAAAUUUUGCUGUGUUGUGUGCUGUCAUACCUCCUUAGCUUCCUGCAAACCAUUUAACCCUUAUCUAUCCUCCUCACAUUCCUAGCAAAGUUCCCAGGCAUCUAGAAAUUCCUGUUUUUCUUGCUGACCUGCUGCAAGGUCACAGAGCAGAUAGAAACUGAGGAAUGCGUUUCUCAAAAUGUUACUUUUCAAAUGUAAAGUACAUCACAAGACACGUCACAAACUGAUUAACUGUUCUGUGUUCUGGCUUCUGUAACUACUGCAUCAUUUUAGGUGCAUAAAAAGUACCCCAUUUUCUUUGUCCUUUGCUCAGAAUUAGGAAGCGAUACUGCUAAGCCCAAUCACGUUAAAUAAAAUCCUCCUGCAACCCCAUUGGUCUCUCUAAAUCUCUGAUUUCCUGCUACAUUUUCUGGCGCCUGAACAGGGACUUGAAACGGCAGGCUUACUGUCUCCUUUACCUGUGGGACGAAGGCCCUGGACCACAGGAGACCUGUGACCCUAGGUACUGCUGGGAGAACUUCAGCCCAGACAGGAGACCUGCUCUGCCGUGCCCCGGCAUCCACUCCUGGACAGCGCAUCAGACCUUUGGAAGGGGUUGCAGGACGAUCUCCAGGACCAACAUAUUUCAGGAAUUACAGCAGUGUGCCCUGGAUUCAUCAUAGCCGGUUAAAACCCACAGCAGCCCAGAAGUGGACCAGUGAGCAAAGGCUAAUCCUGAGAUGAGACCAAAGUGUCAAUGAAGGUGACAGCCCUGCUCUAGUCACACCACCAGAGGCUGACCAGUCCAGGCAUGGCUGAAGCUUAAGGAAUCAUCAAAAAUAAAUAUGGACUGAAAUUUUAAGUCUAAUUGCAAUCUUAGUGUUCUUAUCUAUUCUAUCACUAUGCUGUCAUCUUUGCCAACCCUUACAUCCAAGGAAAGAUUUACCCUGCCCCUGCAUAGUGGUAUAGAUAUGUUAAUUUUUAUUCUACUAUUGUUAACUUCAGUAUCUGUACAAAAGGAACCGCAACCGGUAAAAUAAUGUACUUACUGCCUGUAGACUACUUGAAUUUAGGAAUACAGUAGUUAAGACCUUGCUGUAUCCAACAUAUUAUAAGUGUACAGGGACUCAGCUAGGCGCUUGUACUUAUAAUCCAAUAAUUUAUUCAGUUGGUAACCCAGGCAAUGAGCAACUUUAUGUAUGUUACGACCCCAAAUCUGUGCCUGGGAUCGGGUUUGAAAUACAAAGGGAGUCAAAAGAAGGUCCUCUCCUAAACAGAACUGAGGUCCCACCUUUCCAUGAGGAAGCAUUUCCUUUGCAUUUCGAUGCCUGCCAAGCAACAUACUCAGGCAUAGCCUACUCUGCUAACUGUGGUAACCCAACCUGGGAAAGACAUAGCAAACUUCGUAUGUGUGUGGGCCAAAAGUUGCUCCACUUUGCUCCCCUGGGACCCCGGGAAGGGAUUAUAGGUACUGCACAACACGUUCCUAAACGGGAGCAUCAGGAACCAGUUGUGCUUACCGAAAUGCCAACAAAGCCAAACUGUGAAACAAAAACCUGCAAUCCUAUAAAGCUUACUAUCCCAAAGCCAGAUUUACCCACGUGGACUAAGGUCACCCCAUAAUGGUGUUUACAGAAACAUUCCCAAUCACCCAUUUGUAUAUUAUCAAAAAGGGAACUCGGGCCCAUCCCCCUCAACCUCAGUUCCAAGUUUUCAAGUCAUUUUAUGAAAACUAUAAAAGAACUAACCAGGAGGUUUUUGAACCCCCUCCAGUAGCCAGUAAUCUGUUUGUUCAACUGGCUAAAAGUAUAGCUAAUAAUCUAGCUGUUUCUUCUUGCUAUGUCUGUGGAGGCAUUAUCAUGGGAAAUCAAUGGCCAUGGGAUGCAAAAGAGUUAAUGCCUCAAUAAAACUUUACCUUGACCCUCACCCCUCCCAAGCCUACACUUAAGCACUCAAGUAUUUGGCUCCUAAAAACUUCCAUUGUUGGGAAGUACUGUAUUGCCCACUGGGGAAACACUUUCAUUAAUCCAGUAGGA